RNAcentral lists this ribosomal RNA (406 nucleotides) under uncultured bacterium. Its description in RNAcentral is "partial 16S ribosomal RNA". It matches the Rfam family "Bacterial small subunit ribosomal RNA", at positions 30 to 526 of the family's 1533-position model. The record is from RNAcentral.
AUUGAACGCUGGCGGCAAGCCUAACACAUGCAAGUCGAACGAGAGGCGGACGGGUGAGUAAUGUCUGGGAAACUGCCUGACGGAGGGGGAUAACUACUGGAAACGGUAGCUAAUACCGCAUACCAUCUGUUGUGCCCAGAUGGGAUUAGCUAGGAGGUGGGGGAAAGGCUCACCUAGGCGACGAUCCCUAGCUGGGCUGAGAGGAUGACUAGCCACACUGGAACUGGGACACGGUCCAGACUCCUACGGGAGGCAGCAGUGGGGAAUAUUGCACAAGGGGCGCAAGCCUGAGGCAGCCAUGCCGCGUGUAUGAAGAAGGCCUUCGUGUUGUAAAGUACUUUCAGCGGGGAGGCGUUACCCGCAGAAGAAGCACCGGCUAACUCCGUGCCAGCAGCCGCGGUAAUAC